Non-coding RNA from Rattus norvegicus (Norway rat), 8334 nucleotides. The record is from RefSeq and is a predicted model, not a curated record. Lineage: Eukaryota; Metazoa; Chordata; Mammalia; Rodentia; Muridae.
AUGAGCUUCUUGAAGGCAGGGGCAAAGGGAUUUGUGAAUCCUGGUCAUCAUCCUUCAGGUUCUGAUUGGCCUGAACUAUUCUGAAAUAAACCCGAACUCAGCAACAUAGAAAAUGUCAACUCUAAUCAAGAGCAAGUAUUUAAAAUUAUUUAUAUUCUGAAUCACAAUUUUCUGCCUUUUCUUGCAUCUGUGAAUAACCUUCUCGAGGCCUUUCUUGGACUUCACUCAUUGCCUGUACACAUACCGAGGACACAGGCUUAUGUCUGGGUUAUAGCUAUGUCUGCUUCUAAAUAAAAAUCAAUUACAUUUAUAAUAAUCUAUUGCUACAUACAGUACAUCUCCUCAUAACUUAGUAACUUUUUUAAAAGUGAUUUUUGUUUGCUUCUUACAGUGUGAUGGAUCUUGGGUUAGAUAAAAUAUAAUAGAAUGUUUCUCAUGUCUAUGAUGGACCAAAACAUUCAAAGGAGCCUCUUCCCUCUUCGCUUCCAUGCCUGAUGCCUCAGAGAGGGUGGCUCACAGUGUCAAGCAGACAAGUGGGAUGAUUUGCCUGGACUCCUGAGUACAGCAUUCUCAGUUUGCAGUGGCGGCUGGAUUCGAUGGUUCUCCUUCACAGAGCCUCAGUAUCUCUCUAUCUCUAUGUGGCCUCUCUGUGUGGAUCAGCUCAGGCACUUUAUAUAGCAGCUCGGGGCUCAAAAAGGCAAAAGGCAAACACUGCUAAUUUAUCUUUAAGGCUUCAGCCACUUUUACCACACUCUGCUGAGCAAAGAAAGACAAAGACCAGCCUGGAUUCAAGGGAAUGUGGCUACACGGAGAAGUGAUCACUUAAAGGGGUGACCCCAUAGGGGCAUCAGAAUAACACAUGGGAUCUGCCCAGGUUGCAAGGAAGGAGAGUUCUGCUUGCAAUUCCUUGCCUCUUCCUCCAUCUACCUGCUCCAGGUUGAAGUACAUCACCACUUGGGAGCAGCCAUGACAGUGCCUCAUGCUGGCUCUGAGGCUUCUACCCUGAUAGAUGUCUGUAUGGUUGUCUGUCUUGAUGACUAACUCCCACAUGCUCCUUCAAAGACUCAAGGGGGCCAACUGUGUUUCAUCAAGUUCCUUCUCUCUUCCAUCCAUGGUACCUCUGCUGAAACUGUUUCCAGCUACCACAGCCAAACGUGUGCUGUUAACAGCACUCCUGGUUUCUGAUAGGCCAACUGUUUGCAACAACAAGAACAACAACAAGAACAACCACCAAAAUACAGGACAGAGACACCACACUAUCUGCAGCUAUAGACAAGGGCAUCUGAAUCUUACCUGCUUUGGAAUAAUUCCAGGACAAGAUGUAAGGAAUAUUGGGGAUUUACCUAGCAAAAGGUAUCUGGAGAGGACACAGGAUCCUCGGCUGAGAGUCUCACAAGACCACAGUUGAGGUGGCCGUAGGACGGAUCUGCCCUAUCAACUGGAGGGCUGACUAGGCUGUAGAAUCUUGAAGAAAAUUCAAUCCGUUACAGAGAAAUAAAGGAACUACAUUUUCUUCCCGCAAUUGGAUUGUACAGGAACUGAGAAAGUGCUCAAGGACCCCAGAGUCAGUGACGGCUUGGAUCACUAUCUCCUCUGGACAAAGCCAUUGCCUUCCUGACCAUGCAUUCUGGAAAGGAUCAGAGCAGCCACAGAUACAAACGCCGUAGAGAAAGCGUCUGGUGAGAUAUCGCGGUGAGUAGAGAGAGGCACCUAGAUUCAGACAUGAUGAUCUAAGUUCAGUAAUGAGCUCCCGGGGCAGAAGAGAAUUGACUCUCAAGUGAGUUGUCCUCUGACUUCCAAGGGCACGCGUGUACUGCCACCAUCCAAAGAAAAUUAAUUACACAAAAUAAAAUAAAGCUGAGAAACCGAGAGGCUCCCUCUCUAGUAGGCCUUUAGUGUUUCAAGCAAGCUUCCAUGGAUCAUUUAACAGGCAAGUGUGUGGUGCCCAGGUGUGCAAGACUUUGCAUUAAAUAAAAGAUAAAGAGAUCUUGGCUCCAGGUAUCUCCUGUCUCUGACGCCUAGAGAUCCAAUAAUCAUCAAAGACUCUUUUCCUAGGCGGGCCCCCCAGGCAUUAAGUUCAGACAGCAUCUUUGCAAACUCAUGUUUUAUCUUAAUAAUCUAAAAGCCAAUUCCUUCAAAUUAUCUAUCAGAGGAAAGCCCCCCCCUAAGGGGGUCACCUUACUGUAACUUUUAAAAUCCAAACUGAUUAAUUUCUCAAAUAAAUAAUUUAAAUCUUAGACACGAAACCAUUUGGAAAAGAAUUCUCACUUGAAGUCAUUUCAUUCUAUACUUUUCGACACCAAUGGACUUCAUGAAAUACUAUGUUUAUCUGAUCUGCAACAUAAUAUCCAACAUGACCAACCAAAAGAGAAAGCAAGGCUUCACGGUGGCAGACGAAGUUGCCUUCUAACUGAGGAAGUGGGUACAGCUAAGACAGGCUUGCAGCCCUGUCAGUUGCUAAGACCUACAUAAAUGCUCCUGGUAGAGGAAAGUGUGAGAAUUUAGAUUCUAAGUCUAAAACUGUUAUCAGGCAGUAGAUUUGCUACCUAUCUCAGGUUGCUGAAACCCAGAAAAAAUGGAUCCUAACAGUGCCUUUGGGAUUUGGUGUCAGUUUGCCAUUUGUGAUUAUUGUAUCAAAUAUUUUGAUGGUUGAAACUGUCAACUUGACAGAAUCUAGAACCACCCAGGAGCUAACCAUCUGACUCCACUGUGAGGGGUUAUCUAGACUAAGCUAGCCUCUGGCCAUAUCUGUAUGGGAGUAUUUUGUUAGGCUAACUGAGAUGGGCAAACCCAACCUAAAAGUGGGUGGUUACCGUUCCAUGGGCUAAGAUCCUGGGCUACACGAGAGGAGAAAGGAAGCUGAGCACCGUUCACUGCUCCUGUCUUCCUGGCUGGGGAUGUAACGUGACCAGCUUCUUCAGGCUUUUCAGCCCGGCUUCCCUGCUACAAUGGACUAGACCCCAAAAACGUGAUGCCAAGCAAGUCUUUCAUUCUUGCUUUGUCAAGGAAUUCUAUCAAAGCAACAGGAAGACUAGAAGGGAUAGGUGUGGGCUGGCAUUCUAUAGCAGCUGUAGGAAAAGACAUGUGAGAGAGAGGUGUGUGGUGUACAUGAGGAGGAGGUAAGCGCGGAUCCCAGUCACUUUUUUGAAAAUCCUUUUAUUCAUUUACAUUUAAAAUCAUAUCCCUCUUCCUGGUUACCCCUCCACAAACUCCCCAUCUCAUCCCCUCUCUCCCUUUUGCCUCUCACCUACUCCCACCUCACCGUUCUAGCAUCCCCCCAUGAAGGGGCAUCAAGCCUCUAUAGGACCAAGGGCCUGUCCUUCCACUGAUGUCAGACAAGACCUUCCCCUGCUACACCUGGAGUCAUGGCUCCCUCCAAGUGUACUCUUUGGAUGGUUGUUUAGUCCCUGGGAGCUCUCGGGGGGUGGGGGGUCCAGUUAGCUGAUAAUGUUCUUCCUAUGGGGUUGCAAUCCUCUUUAGCUCCUUCAGGCCUUCCCCUAGAUCCUCCAUCAGGGUCCUUUGGCUUAGUCUAAUGGUUGACUAUGAGUAUAUGCAUCUGUAUUGGUCAGAUGCUGGUAGAACGUCUCAGGGAACAGCCAUACCAGGCUCCCGUCAGCAAGUGCUCCCUGGCAUCGGCAAUACUGCAGGGGUUUGGUGUCUGCAGGUAGGAUGGAUCCCUAGGUGGGACAGUCUCUGGAUGGCCUUUUCUUCAGUCUCUGCUCCAAUUUUUGUCUGUCUUUUCUUUGUACAGGAACAAUUCUGGGUUAAAAUUUUUGAGAUGCAUGGGUAGCCCCAUCCCUCAACUUGGGGCCAUGCCUGUCUACUGGAGGUGCUCUCCACAGCUGUAUCCACCGUCACUUCUUAGCUAACACCUGUGCCCCGCUAGUCUAGGACUUAGGAAUGAUGUCUUCUCACACAGUUUUGCAAUGGCUCCUCUGUACAAAGCUUUAGUCACUUCUUCUCUCAGUCUUUGGCUGAAUCUGACUUUCAGCUUCCCUUUACAGAAUCCCACCUGAGCAAGACUCCUAAGGGACUUUAACAAAAUCCCCACCCUCAGUGUCUGAGCACCCAGGGCUGGCCAACAUCGAGUUGGUUUAGCCACAAACUCCAUUUUUCUGGUUUUCUGCCUAAAUCAUCUCUCCCCUGUAUCACAUACACAUCUCCACUUGUCCCAAUUGAUAGUACUAAGUCCCAACUCUGUCAGACUCCUCUCAGUAGUCCUUGUGCCUAUUGUCACUUCUCAUGAAUAAAAUCUGCUUAAUGAUGUCAGAGUUAAGUGUAACCAUGUUGAGCUGAGAUUAAAUGAUUGACCUAUAAAAUUUAGUACAGCCUCAGACAUACCAACUCGCUAUUUUUGUCAUCACCACCAGUGCCACCUCUAUCCUUGCUAGACAAUGGAGUAUGGGUUGUUUUAAAGAAGUCCUAUUAAAGUGGUCAAUGAUUUACUUUUAGACUCUUAAGAGACAAAAUGGGAAUAGUCAGGAUGAUAAAUGAAGAGAUAGACAGACAGACAGACACACAGACAGUCAAAUUAUAGGAGAUAGAUAAGGAACAAUAGAGGAUGAAGAAGACAAUUCACGACUAGCAGAUGAUAGAUACACAGAUAGUUACAUAGAUACAUAGAUAUACAUAGAUAGAUGCAUACAUACAUAGAUACAUACAAACAUGCAUAGCUAUACACAGGUAGAUAGAUAAUAGAUACAUAGCUAUACAUACAUACAUAGAUACAUAGCUAUACAUAGAUAGAUGAUAGGCAGUAGAUAGAUGAUAGAUACAUACAUACAUAUAGUUAGAUACAUACAAACAUACGUACAUACAUACAUAUAGAAAGAUAGAGAUAGAUAGAAAGAUAGAUAGGUAAAUAGAUACAUAGAUAUACAUAGAUAUAGUUAGAUAAAUAGAUGAUUGAUAGAUAGAUGACACAUACAUAUACAUAUAUAGAGAGAAAGAUAGGUAGAUAUGCAGAUAGUCAAAUUAUAGGAGAUAAGUGAAAGAGAAUGAUGAAGAUGGUUAGAUCAGUAGAUGAUAGAUAGAUGGUUGAUAGAUGAUUUAGAGGGUACAAAUAGUGUUACUGUAACACUGUAAAGUAACAAAUGUUACUUUCUCUGUUAUGCGUUUCUUCUCUGAGACCUCAGAAUCUACAACCAACCACACUUAUUCUAAUUCCAAAUCAUCCAGUUACCAGCUGUUGUGAUGGUUGUCCGGCUGCCUGCCAUCCCCAAGUCUUGGGGCGGGGUGUUGUUUUUGUUUUUAUUUUCUUUCUAGAAAACAGAGAUGAUAGUAACAAGUCAUCCUAGGGCAUCAGAAGGAUCAAAGGAAUCUGCGGUCCGUUUAGUCCCCAGUUUUGUUGACACCAGUGUCAUUAGAGUCACAAGCUUGUCUCUCUGCCUUCAGGAAACUGAUCGGCAAGUCAGAUCCCCUCUAUGUACCUGUCGGAACAAACACUUUUAAAGGAACCUAGUCUCCUGCCACUUCACAGAUACAAAAUCUGAGUCACAUUUCACAAAUAGCAGGCACAGGGAUUCCUCAGAGCUUUGCCCUUCAAACUAGACCCCAAGCAUUUUACUCUGUUUUAAUUUCCAGGCCUACUGGAGGCCCAAGUCUUUGGAGUGUUCGGCUGGAAUGUUAAUUAUGGGAAAUUCCAGAAUCUGUGGCUUAGAAAUGAGUUCCCAUUUACCCUGUUGCCUGGCACUGGGGUCCCUCUCGCUUAGCCUUCAGAACAGCCACUCACUUUCCAAAGCCCACAAGACUGAAGCCAGAUGGCAAUGCAGCCCAAUCCUGCCGCUUCAGGCUCGCCUCCCUGUGCCAGCCCUGUAGCUCCAUCCUCUGGCACGGUCUCCAGGCACUAAGCACCCUCACCAGGUCUCAAAGAUGGCUCCAAAGAAAGCCCUCCUUUAUCCAACUUACAGAGAUGCAUUCAUGGUCUCUUGCUGCACCUGAGUCACUACCAACUAGGAGGCAAUGCAGAUCCACCCGCCAGGCCAAGCACCACCCACCUGUGUGAAAGAAAUAAUUUCUUCCUGUGCCUGCACCUUACCUCUCCUUCGCUCGUGGCAGUGGCUUUUGACAGCGUGCAAGGGAAUACUUUCCAGCAGAUUCCAUCAUUAGCAUGUCUGAUCCCCUUGCACAGCAUGCCAGUACGGGAAGUUCCUAAAGGGACCCAAAGCUUCCUGGAGACAGCCAUGUCCCCAUGGACUGGGUCCCUGACUUGCCCACUCUGCCACCUGAGUUCUUGACCUGAUAGAUUUGCAGGAGUCACAGAAAGGCCAGAUUUACUCCAUGGUUGGAGAUACUAAAGGUCUCCUCAGUAACAGGAAGCUUGAGGAAGCCUGGGGUAGUUGACUUUCAUAAAAGAAUGAGAGCAGAGGAAUAGUAUGAAUCCUUAAAUUUCCAUAAGUGGAAGCUGGGGAGACAGCUUAGUAAGUGAAGUGCUUCCUGUGCGAGCUCGAGAAUCCAAGUCCCGAUCGUCAGCAGUCAAGUAGAAAGCUGGACUUAGCAGAGUGUCUGUAAUCCCGGACAAGGCAUUGUGGCUAGGGAGACAAGCAAAUUCAUGGACUCCCUUGCCAGCCAGAGCUCCAAGAGACUCUGUCUCAAAAUACAUGCUGGAGCAUGGUGAGGAAGAUACCCAAUGUAAGCUUCUAGCCUUCACACAAGCAUUCGAGUACACACACACACACACACAAACACACACACACACACACACACACACACACACACACAUCUUUCACAACAUGAGAUGAGGACAACCUCAGUCAUUUCAACUGCCUUAACAUAUCCCCCUAGGCAAAAGGCUCCGUGUCCAAAAGCUAAUCUUGUAGAGCCUAUCAUUUUGAAGGACAAAGACACUAGAGAAUCCUAAUGGUAGGUGAAUAGGAUGGCAAACAUCAGUCGGAUCAUCCUCUGUCCUCAGAGUGAAGAGAGAUGAAGAGACAAGGGAUCCAUAGCUCGGUCCUAAAUGAAUCACGUGACUGGUGCCCUGUAUCAUCACAAGUAUGCAUGACAAGUGACUUUUGACUUUCACAAAAGAGUCUCAGUUUACCUUCUUUUUCGCCAAGGAAAGAAAAUGGAGGCCUUUGAGGGUCAAAUCAUUGGUCCUGGCUAGAUUUGGACAGGAAAAGACAAAGCAGACGUUGGUAGCUGCCUGGGUCCUUUCCUGACACUGCUUGCUCUGUAGAGUAAUUCCUAGGAUGAUGCCCAGGUGGCCGCGUCUUCUCUUCCCGCCCGCAGAUAACUAGUCUUUUUGACGAGGGAAAAAUGAAUAUUACUAGACUAACAGCCAGAGUCUCAGAAACCUUCAUCUUUUUUAUUCUGCUUCCAAGUGUUCAACUCCCCAAGAGUCAAGCAAUCUGCCUAGUGUACCAGAAAGCCACGUCCGUUUUUAUUGGGAGCUAUUUGAGGCGUAUCAGCAGCGUGCCAGACACUGUUCCAUGGUCCCCCAGAGCCUCACUCCUCACUUUGGACUGAUUUAUGCUCAAAACAAUUAUACACCCUGAAGCUUCACUCCUGGAGCCAGCAAAGGGGCACCCUAAGGGGCCCUGUGAGGACUGAUGUGUUUGAACAGUAUUUUUGUGGAUCUUUAAAAUGAGGCAUCCCAGGCCAACUCCAAGGCAAACUGGUUUUGUGCCUGUUUAUAAGCAAUGAGUCAAGACUGAUGGAGGAGGAUUCUGCAUACCACAGGACCAGCAUAGCAGAGCCCAGCGUGUUCUCAAGGCUAACUACAGUUCAUUCCCCAUUCAGAAUGCUUUCUGGUCACCCUGGAGUACACAGGGCUGAGGCCCUCAGUGCAAGUCUCCAUGGCACUCUGAACUGCCCAUGGUUCUGCCCCCACAGUCAGAGAUACAUUGUUAUAAGAAUCUGAGCAUGCGUAGGAGUUACAAAGUAUCGGCAUUGUCUAAAGCCACAGGGAAAACUGUAGAAAACUCGUGGUUGCCAUCGUCAGAAAGCUGUUUGAUUGACUACCAUGUUGGGCAGUUGCGUACCUGUCUACCUCCUUCUUGCAGAAGUAACCAGUUACGUGUUAUUAUUUGGAAUUAGCAUGAGGAUUGAUAUUCAACUCUAUUCACACAAACACAAACAGCCAUGUUUAAAAGUUACUGCAGAAGAAGCAGCAGGAAGAGGCCGCCCUCCCAAUAAGAGAGAUCUUAUCAGUGAAACAAACCAAAAGCUAAGACCUUAUAUCAAAAUUGAUGUAUAAAACCUGAUGCAAACACCCUAAGAUUAUAAUUAUAUUGACUGUCCUUCUGUGCCUGUGUGCAUGUGUGCGUGUGUGCGUGUGUGUUGUCAACUUGACACCAGCUAGAAUCAUUAGUGAAUACACCACUACCGCUGAGACAA